UACGGGGGGGGCAAGCGUUGUUCGGAAUUACUGGGCGUAAAGGGCUCGCAGGCGGCCGACUAAGUCAGACGUGAAAUCCCUUGGCUUAACCAAGGAAUGGCGUCUGAUACUGGACGGCUUGAAUUCGGGAGAGGGAUGUGGAAUUCCAGGUGUAGCGGUGAAAUGCGUAGAUAUCUGGAGGAACACCGGUGGCGAAGGCGGCAUCCUGGACCGAUAUUGACGCUGAGGCGCGAAAGCUCGGGGAGCGAACGGG
Molecule: ribosomal RNA, 253 nt
Filed under: uncultured bacterium
Lineage: Bacteria
Description: partial 16S ribosomal RNA
Rfam family: Bacterial small subunit ribosomal RNA
Source: RNAcentral